GCGUCCCUUCAGCAACACAAAGAUUUGGCUCCAGAUCCAAAAUGUCAUGUAUUUGGCAAUUUUAUUUAUGGUAGCACUCCCCACCCCUCCCAUCUGCUCUUUUCCCUUCCCUCCACUCCCCUCCCCUAUGCUCCCUGUCCCGACACUCCCCUCCCCUCCCCUCCCCUAUACUACCCUACACUCCCCUUCGCUACACUACCCUACAUUACCCUAUGCUCCCCUCCCCUAUGCUCCCCUACACUCCCCUCCCCUAUCCUACCCUACACUCCCCUAAACUCCACUCCCCUACACUACCUUCUACUCUCCUAUGCUCCCUUCCCCUCUACUAUGCUACACUACGCUAUGCUACACUACCCUAUCCUACCCUCCCUUAUCCUAUUCUCCCCUUACACUAUCUUCCCCUCCCCUCCCCUCCAAUCCCCUCCAAGUCCCCUCCAACCCUGCCCUCCUGCUGCACUCACUUGGGGGCCGCAGGGCUGCUUCUCACUCCUCUCUCCCAGCAUCUGUAACAUCACAGAUGUUUUUCCUUUUUUCAGUCUGCUCUCCCAGAAACCCAGGCAGCAUCGCUCCUUGACUAGGCCAUGGCCAGUAUCUGGUCUCUUUUGGAGCCAGCUGGAGCUGGCUCUGGUCUGACAUGGGGCAGCUGCUGGGCUCUGCUCUCAGAAACCACCCGUUCUGCCCCUUGCGACCAAAGCCUUACCACAUGAACCUAACAGAAAGUGGAAU
This 726-nucleotide long non-coding RNA is filed under the name Anas platyrhynchos platyrhynchos (common mallard). Its description in RNAcentral is "lncRNA (ENSAPLG00000025205.1)". Lineage: Eukaryota; Metazoa; Chordata; Aves; Anseriformes; Anatidae. The record is from RNAcentral.